Molecule: ribosomal RNA, 874 nt
Filed under: uncultured Mycoplasma sp.
Lineage: Bacteria; Bacillati; Mycoplasmatota; Mollicutes; Mycoplasmatales; Mycoplasmataceae
Description: bacterial SSU rRNA
Rfam family: Bacterial small subunit ribosomal RNA
Source: RNAcentral
UCCCGGAAUUAUUGGGCGUAAAGCGUUCGUAGGUGGUUUGUUAAGUCUGAAGUUAAAGCCUGGGGCUCAACCCCAGCCCGCUUCGGAUACUGGCAGACUAGAGUUAUAGAGAGGUCGGUAGAACUCCAUGUGAAGCGGUGGAAUGCGUAGAUAUAUGGAAGAAUACCAAUGGCGAAGGCAGCCGACUGGAUAUAUACUGACACUGAGGGACGAAAGCGUGGGGAGCAAACAGGAUUAGAUACCCUGGUAGUCCACGCCGUAAACGAUGAUCAUUAGCUGGUGGAUUUAAUCACCGGCGCAGCUAACGCGUUAAAUGAUCCGCCUGAGUAGUAUGCUCGCAAGAGUGAAACUUAAAGGAAUUGACGGGGACCCGCACAAGCGGUGGAGCAUGUGGUUUAAUUUGAAGAUACGCGUAGAACCUUACCCACUCUUGACAUCCUCUGCAACGCUAUAGAGAUAUAGUUGAGGUUAACAGAGUGACAGAUGGUGCAUGGUUGUCGUCAGCUCGUGUCGUGAGAUGUUAGGUUAAGUCCUGCAACGAGCGCAACCCCUGUCUUUAGUUACCAUCAUUAAGUUGGGGACUCUAGAGAGACUGCCUGGGUAACCAGGAGGAAGGUGGGGACGACGUCAAAUCAUCAUGCCUCUUACGAGUGGGGCAACACACGUGCUACAAUGGCUGAUACAAAGGGAUGCGAAAUGGCAACAUUUAGCUAACCUCAAAAAAUCAGUCUCAGUUCGGAUUGGAGUCUGCAACUCGACUCCAUGAAGUUGGAAUCGCUAGUAAUCGUAGGUCAGCUACACUACGGUGAAUACGUUCUCGGGUCUUGUACACACCGCCCGUCACACCACGGGAGUUGGUAAUGCCCGAAGCCGG